This 494-nucleotide ribosomal RNA is filed under the name uncultured bacterium. Its description in RNAcentral is "partial 16S ribosomal RNA". It matches the Rfam family "Bacterial small subunit ribosomal RNA", at positions 28 to 507 of the family's 1533-position model. The record is from RNAcentral.
GACGAACGCUGGCGGCGCGCUUAACACGUGCAAGUCGAACGGAAAGGCCUGCUUUCCCUUGUGGAUUGCGGGUACUCGAGUGGCGAACGGGUGAGUAACACGUGAGUGAUCUGCCCCCAACUUGGGUAUAAGCCUGGGAAACUGGGUCUAAUUCCCGAUAGGACUGCAGGGUGGUGCCUGUGGUGGAAAACGAUUUUCUAGUGGUUGGGGAUGAGCUCGCGGCCUAUCAGCUUGUUGGUGGGGUAAUGGCCUACCAAGGCGGCGACGGGUAGCCGGCCUGAGAGGGCGGGCGGCCACAUUGGGACUGAGAUACGGCCCAGACUCCUACGGGAGGCAGCAGUGGGGAAGAUUGCACGAGGGGCGGAAGACUGAGGCAGCGACGCCGCGUGAGGGAUGACGGCCUUCGGGUUGUAAACUCCUUGCGGCCGCGAGGAAGCCACCUGGUUGGAAGGGUGGUGACGGUAGUGGUAGAAGAAGCACCGGCUAACUACGUG